GACAGAGGGUGCAAGCGUUGUUCGGAAUUACUGGGCGUAAAGCGCGUGUAGGCUGCUCGGAAAGUCGGAUGUGAAAGCCCUGGGCUCAACCCAGGAAGUGCAUUCGAAACUUCUGAGCUUGAGUUUCGGAGAGGAAGGCGGAAUUCUCGGUGUAGAGGUGAAAUUCGUAGAUAUCGAGAGGAACACCGGUGGCGAAGGCGGCCUUCUGGACGGUGACUGACGCUGAGACGCGAAAGCGUGGGGAGCAAACAGG
RNAcentral lists this ribosomal RNA (253 nucleotides) under uncultured bacterium. RNAcentral's name for it is "partial 16S ribosomal RNA". It matches the Rfam family "Bacterial small subunit ribosomal RNA", at positions 524 to 776 of the family's 1533-position model. The record is from RNAcentral.